This 250-nucleotide ribosomal RNA is filed under the name uncultured prokaryote. Its description in RNAcentral is "partial 16S ribosomal RNA". It matches the Rfam family "Bacterial small subunit ribosomal RNA", at positions 524 to 773 of the family's 1533-position model. The record is from RNAcentral.
UACGUAGGGGGCAAGCGUUAUCCGGAUUUACUGGGUGUAAAGCGAGUGUAGACGGCUGCACAAGUCCGAUGUGAAAUUCCGCGGCUCAACUGCGGGACUGCAUUGGAAACUGUGCUGCUGGAGUGUCGGAGAGGUAAGUGGAAUUCCUAGUGUAGCGGUGAAAUGCGUAGAUAUUAGGAGGAACACCAGUGGCGAAGGCGGCUUACUGGACGACAACUGACGUUGAGACUCGAAAGCGUGGGGAGCAAAC